CUGGCACAGUUCACAAUUUAGAAAUAUCACUCUGUAAUAACACAUUUGUCCAAGAGUAUUUAAGAAACAAACAUUAAGAAAAUAAUAUUUUUUAAGAAAAUUAACAUUAAGAAAAUAAUGUUUUUUAUUCACUACAUUACAUUUAUUUGCAGAAACUUUAUACUUUCAACUAUGAAGCUGAACCCCAAAUAUUGCUUCCCGAUCACACAUCUUAAAAAUCGGAACUAAGCAAAGCAGCCGUCGGAGCACUAUUAAGAGCUAUGAUAUAAAAGAGUGCUACAUAAUUGCAAUUAAUUAUUAGAUAUUCAUCUACAAGGUAUAUGCUAAAUGACUACAUUUAAACGUAAAACUGACAAAACAAUAAACAUCAUCAAAUUUAAUUAUCCAUUUUCCCAUCCAAUUAUCCAAUUUCAAACAAAGUACAUUGUCUCCCAAGCGUUAAAAGUCGUUUGUGUGGGAUGUCCUUUGUGCGGUGGACUUGCUGCUCAGACUAGCGGGUCUGAGUUGACGUGCCAGACAAGGCAUGUUCUUCGACAACAGAUUCCUGAAGUUACUCUGAAACCGCUUACCCACAAAGGAGUAGAACAUGGGGCUGAUGCAACAAUACAAGAACGCUAUGUCUCUGGUCACGUACAACGCAUAGUUCAACGCCUCAACCUGAUCGCACUUCCGGUUUGCAUCGUCGGCUGUGGAGAUCUGAAUGGCCUUCAGCAGGAUCACGAUGUUAUAGGGAGUCCAGCAUACGAAGAAGGUGAACAUGAUGAUGAAUAUCAGCUUCACCGAGCGCCAUUUCUCCCUCAUGCGAGUGGACAUGAUCCGCACGGUGAUGCAGGUGUAGCAGUACAUCGCCAUGAAGAGGGGCAGCAGGAAGAAGAGGAGGAACUGCAUGCUUCCGCACGCCUUUGA
RNAcentral lists this long non-coding RNA (906 nucleotides) under Gadus morhua (Atlantic cod). RNAcentral's name for it is "lncRNA (ENSGMOG00000026569.1)". The record is from RNAcentral. Lineage: Eukaryota; Metazoa; Chordata; Actinopteri; Gadiformes; Gadidae.